Molecule: ribosomal RNA, 386 nt
Filed under: Katablepharidaceae sp.
Lineage: Eukaryota; Cryptophyceae; Kathablepharidacea; Katablepharidaceae
Description: partial small subunit ribosomal RNA
Rfam family: Eukaryotic small subunit ribosomal RNA
Source: RNAcentral
AUUCCAGCUCUAAUAGCGUAUAUUAAUGUUGUUGCAGUUAAAAAGCUCGUAGUUGGAUUUUGGUGUUUGACAAACGGUCGGCCUUACGGUUUGUACUGUUUGUUGGCACUUCUUUUCUGGGGAACUCACUGUUCUUAAUUGAAGGGUGUUGUAACGCAGAUCGUUUACUUUGAAAAAAUUAGAGUGUUCAAAGCAGGCCAACGCAUUGAAUACAUUAGCAUGGAAUAAUGGAAUAGGACUUUGGUCUUAUUUUGUUGGUUUCUAAGGCCGAGGUAAUGAUUAAUAGGGAUAGUUGGGGGCGUUUAUAUUCCGUUGUCAGAGGUGAAAUUCUUGGAUUUACGGAAGAUAAACUACUGCGAAAGCAUUCGCCAAGGAUGUUUUCAUUA